AAAAUUUUAAGUUAAAGAAAAACUCUUAAUCUUCAAAAUUAAUAAUAUAUUAAUAAAAUAUAAAUUUUA
This 69-nucleotide transfer RNA is filed under the name Andrena angustior. Its description in RNAcentral is "tRNA-Trp". Lineage: Eukaryota; Metazoa; Arthropoda; Insecta; Hymenoptera; Andrenidae. The record is from RNAcentral.